UACGAAGGGUGCAAGCGUUAAUCGGAAUUACUGGGCGUAAAGCGUGCGUAGGUGGUUUUUUAAGUCUGCUGUGAAGGCCCUGGGCUCAACCUGGGAAUGGCGGUGGAUACUGAAAAGCUAGAGUGCGGUAGAGGAGGGUGGAAUUCCCGGUGUAGCGGUGAAAUGCGUAGAGAUCGGGAGGAACAUCAGUGGCGAAGGCGGCCCUCUGGACCAGCACUGACGCUGAGGCACGAAAGCGUGGGGAGCAAACAGG
This 253-nucleotide ribosomal RNA is filed under the name uncultured bacterium. RNAcentral's name for it is "partial 16S ribosomal RNA". It matches the Rfam family "Bacterial small subunit ribosomal RNA", at positions 524 to 776 of the family's 1533-position model. The record is from RNAcentral.